GGGGAACUGCGCUCUCAGCUUCGUGCUCUGGAACCGCGAAACGAAACUUAAUUCCGCCCCUUCACCGGCGGAGGUCUGUGCCGUGAAGUGUUGCCGCGCACACUGACUCCUGAACGGAUCCGCAAAACAGGUCCGGGACGGAGGCCACUUGACGGCGCAACGGAUCCAGAACAGAUAGCCUAAUGAUUACGGAUCAGGUCAAGAUACGGGGUGAAAGUCCACCCGAAGCGAUUUCAACCGAGGAGGAGGUCCGGCCGGGGACGCCAUGCAGUGUGUAUCCGAAAUCUUGCAGCCGCAAUGUGGCAAACUCAGGAAAAGUCACCAAGUCUUGUACCGUUUAGAACAAGGGAGGUUUUUUUUUUUUUUUUUUUUAAUCAAAAUUAUUUUGGCCACAUUUGUCCGAGGGUUAACAACGUAAAUUACCUCAUUUUUUUGAUUUCAUACGAGGGGGACCCGCGAUUCGGAACGCAAUUACGCCACUGCCCCAGAGGUCCGUGCACGACACGACAUGCAGUGUGUAGCCGAAAUCUCGGAGUGGCUAUCUUGCAGCCGCAGCGCAACGUAACCCGAAAUUUGAAAGCCGGACUCCAUUCUAUAAAUACUGAGCACUGAUGGAUAUGAAUGUCAUUUUAUUCUACAAAAACCAGAGGAGAACAAUAUCUACGGCAUGGACACAGUUACUUUCAACUUGAGUGUUAAAGUGGAAGUGCAUAUGACGAAUGAUGGGCGUGGACUUCAGUGGAGAGUAAGCACUGCCUUUAACUCUCCAACUCAGUUCAGUCUGAGCACCGUCUUCUACCUGCUUCGGCGUGUUUGGCAGUGGAUCAUACCACAUAGAGUUGGAGAUAACAACUGAUUGGAACAAAGAUGUGACAGCAGAGAUUUCCCUUCCAUUCAUCCAGGAUCCACACUCAGUGAGUCUGAUGAUGGGACUAUUGACGGCGAAAUCUGCAAAAGGGGAUCGACAGACAAUCUGACAGCCUGUCAAUUUGACCAAGAAGACGAGAAGCCCUCAGCUGAUCUGAUCUCAUCUCCUGAACUUUUUCACAACCUCUCCGAGUCAUCCCGGACACUAAUAUAUUCUGUAGUGGAACCAUUCAUUUGUGGCUCAUCAACGAUUAUUGAGCUUUUAGCAUGACUUUGUCAAAGAUGUAUAUAUUCUCUAAUAAAAUAUCAUAAAGUCCUUUA
Molecule: non-coding RNA, 1188 nt
Organism: Pimephales promelas (fathead minnow)
Lineage: Eukaryota; Metazoa; Chordata; Actinopteri; Cypriniformes; Leuciscidae
Source: RefSeq, a predicted model, not a curated record